RNAcentral lists this ribosomal RNA (585 nucleotides) under Triticum aestivum (bread wheat). Its description in RNAcentral is "partial small subunit ribosomal RNA". Lineage: Eukaryota; Viridiplantae; Streptophyta; Magnoliopsida; Poales; Poaceae. The record is from RNAcentral.
AUGGAUAUGACAGUGAAGUACUUUGAGAGGAGGAAGGCCGAGAAUCCAGAGUUUUUCUUUGCGAAGCAAAAAGAUCCUGCAACGAACUCUGUCACUGCAUUGUUUUGGGUUGAUGGGAGGACAAGGGCGCUGUACCCGAAAUAUAAAGAUUGCGUGUUCUUUGACACAACUUUCUGCACUAACAGAUACAUCAUGCCCUUUGGUCCUAUAGUUGGUAUCAACAACCACCUCCAAACCAUUUCACUCGGGUGUGCUAUGUUGCCGGAUGAGACUAUUGAAACGUUCAAGUGGGUCUUUGAGCAACGGAUGGUUGCAAUGGACAAUGAGCAUCCAAAGAACAUAAUGACUGACCAGGACCAAGCAAUGGCAACAGCUAUAGAGCAGGUGCUCCCAAAUACUUGCCAUAGGUGUUGCAAGUUUCAUGUGUUUGGCAACGCGCAUUCUAAGUUGGGAGGCUGCUUAGAUAUGAGGCAUUUGCAGAUGUGUUUUACACUUGUAUCAACAACUCUGAAACAGUUGAAGAAUUUGAGGAAACAUGGCAGCACAUGUUGGAGUGUUUCGAAGUUGCUGAAAACAAACACUUGA